Molecule: ribosomal RNA, 373 nt
Filed under: uncultured bacterium
Lineage: Bacteria
Description: bacterial SSU rRNA
Rfam family: Bacterial small subunit ribosomal RNA
Source: RNAcentral
AACGAACGCUGGCGGCAUGCCUAACACAUGCAAGUCGAACGAGACCCUCGGGUCUAGUGGCGCACGGGUGCGUAACGCGUGGGAAUCUGCCCUUGGGUUCGGAAUAACAGUUAGAAAUGACUGCUAAUACCGGAUAAUGUCUUCGGACCAAAGAUUUAUCGCCCAGGGAUGAGCCCGCGUAGGAUUAGCUAGUUGGUGGGGUAAAGGCCUACCAAGGCGACGAUCCUUAGCUGGUCUGAGAGGAUGAUCAGCCACACUGGGACUGAGACACGGCCCAGACUCCUACGGGAGGCAGCAGUGGGGAAUAUUGGACAAUGGGGGCAACCCUGAUCCAGCCAUGCCGCGUGUGUGAAGAAGGCCUCGGUUGUAAGUA